RNAcentral lists this long non-coding RNA (2471 nucleotides) under Nicotiana benthamiana. RNAcentral's name for it is "long non-coding RNA (NBEN_LNC034603)". Lineage: Eukaryota; Viridiplantae; Streptophyta; Magnoliopsida; Solanales; Solanaceae. The record is from RNAcentral.
AUACCUCUAAAUCCCUCUCUUCUCUCAACUCACCUUAAACCAUAACCGCUACCUCCCAUCGAAACCCUAAUCCAUGGCCUCUCAUGGCCAUUGAAGAUGUUCUAUGGUCUCCUGUGGCUCCUGGGUGUUCAUUUUUGUGGUCUCAUGGACAGAUCUCGAAGGAAGUUGGUCCAGCCUUUGCCUGACUUCCGUUCUUGGUCAUUCUCCGGUCAUCCCUGACUUUUCUCCAGACGGCCAUGGUCGUUCAAGUCAGAUCUUGGGUUCUUCUGGUUAGAUCGUUAUUUUUCAAAGCCUUUCUCACCUUUCUGGGUUCUACGAAACCCUAACUCUAAGGUUCCUUCAAUUUAUUUUUAGAUCUGCUGUAGAUCUAUGUGUAUUUGAACUUUCUGGGCAUGCUUCUCAAAGUUUCCCCAAUUUUUUGCUUUCAAAACUCUUUGUUCUUUUAGAUCUGCUGUAGAUCUAUGUGUCUAUGUCAAGUUAUUUCGAAUUUCCUCUCUUAUUCUUGGCAUGUUUUUGUACUUUGCUUGUGUUGCUUUCUUUAUUUCGUGUAAGCAUGUUGAAAACCCCUAAUUUUGGAAUUUUUGUUUGAGUCUGGUGCUUAUCUUCUCUAGGUUAUUUGAUGUUAAAAAGCCCUAAUUUUUUGGAUCUAUUUGACUUACUGAGCCUGGCUAUUUGGUUUACUUAUUAAUAGUUGAAACCCAAAUUUUUAGGGGUUUUUAUUUGGAACUCUGAAAGCGCUUGUUGUUUCACCUGUUGGUCGUCUGUAAACCCAACUGAUUUUGAGAAAACACCUAGCAUCCUUGGGGACUAUUCGAGUCCUUUGGGUUUAUUUGUGCGAUUUGUCUGUUUGAAACUAUUCAACUUCAUUCAUGCAUCUCUUUUCUCUAUGUGUCAUGAGUUCUUGGCAACAGUCAAACUCGACUAUAUUUCUUGCUCAACUCACUGGAUGCUUUGAUUCUUUCUCUUUCUAUUACACUGAAACCUAACUAGCAUGCUUUGAAAUAUCUUCCUUAUGUUGUUACUGUGUGAUAUUUCAUUUACCAUAGCUUGGACUCACAUGUCUGUUAUUUGUGCAUGCAUUAUAUACUACGUCCCCUGCGAUUUAUUUUUAAACUCGAAAUUGAUUUCAAAACUUUUUCUUCCAUGAGAUUUUGAUUUUUACUAGCCUUCAAGGGUUAAUUGAUUCUCUUUCUUUGUUUUGCUUCAUUGAAUCUUUCCAAAAAUAACCACAAAUCUUGUACUUAGACUUUUUGCCUAUUGUAUGACUUUACUAUUUUUUGUGGCAACAAGCCAUUCUACUUAUGUGAUUGAUUCAUCUUUCCUUAUUUGGAACAUAUUAGUAUCCAUCUGAAUAAGAAUCCCCUGAUUAAAGGAAAGACUUAUACUAAUUGAUUCUAAUUUGUGAGCAUGCCCAUAUUUGUGCUUUUACUCUACUCUCUACUCAUUUUUUCAAAAACAAUAAAUACCUCACCCUCUCCUCUUUCGACACAGAAGUUCCAAUGAACACACACACACACAAUAUACUCACUACUUCUCUUCUCUCAAAACACUUUUAAGUUCUCUCAAAGCAUUCGAGUUUUCUGCUGAAAUCAUAAGUUAGCUUUCUUUGGUUGUGUUGUGGCUACAAGUAUUCUGCUUCUCUUUCUGUUUACUUUUGCAACAGGUAUGUCUUCUUUAGUUUAAUAUUGUCCAUUUUUUAUGUUUAUACUUCAGUUCUUUUGUGUUUACUUUACUAUUUUUCUGCAAAUUUGCUAUCUUUGCUCUUACAUGAAUUCCCUCUCCCUAAACCCUUUUGUAUGUGAGCCAUAGUUCAUAAAGCAUGACAAUACUUAAAUAUUAUUAUUCAUUUGUAUGGACUAGAUUCCUUGAAUCCUAAACUCUAUCAAUUCCCGCUCCAUUUCCCCUUAUGUGUGCUCUGAGCCUAAGACCCUAGUCUGGCAGUGUCCUAAUCACUGUCCAGACCAUAGUCUGACCUUCAUAGCUCUAUGCUCUUAUUUGUUUUGCUAAAUAGGUCUGGUCAGGGGUGUGUCAGCCUGCCUUGUGGCUAGGCAUGACCACCAACCUGUUAUGGCUCUCAACCCCUUCUGCACUUACACUCAUUCUUAGAAAUUAAGUUAUGCCCCUCUCUUGUAAGCCUUGCCUUGGGACCCUGGAGCUCCCUCUGAACUUGAAUUCUUGGUAGCUGGCCUUUCCACACUGCACUAUAUCUAAUUCUAAUGGGUAUCUUGGGUGUACGCAAUGCAUGGAAUUCCUGAAAUUCCUGAAAUUCCUUGGAACUUUGAAACACCCUAGAUAAAGAGAAGGCUUUGAAAAUCUGGAUUCCGGAAGUGGUUCAAUCUUAUAUUGUUAUAAGUCUGAAUUAGGUACCUUGGAUGCAACUGUAGUUUCUGAUGUAUUUUUAUUCUACUGGUCUGUAACAACUUGUAUAAACUCGGGGAUCUAGUGAAAAGGGUGGUGUAUUUACUUUUCUG